CACGUAGUUAGCCGUGGCUUAUUCCUCAGGUACCGUCAUAAUCGUCCCUGAGAAAAGCGGUUUACAACCCGAAGGCCUUCAUCCCGCACGCGGCGUUGCUGCUUCAGGCUUGCGCCCAUUGAGCAAAAUUCCCGACUGCUGCCUCCCGUAGGAGUCUGGGCCGUGUCUCAGUCCCAGUCUGGGUGAUCGUCCUCUCAGACCACCUACCGAUCGUCGCCUUGGUGAGCCAUUACCCCACCAACGAGCUAAUCGGACGCAGGCCCCUCCCAAAGCGCAUUUCUGCUUUGAUCAUCAAAAUGAAUUAACGACCGUAUGCGGUAUUAGCCACCCUUUCGGGCAGUUAUUCCCCACUUCGGGGUAGGUCACCCACGCGUUACUCAGCCGUCCGCCACUAACUUUCAGAGCAAGCCCUGAAAGUCCGUUCGACUUGCAUGUCUAAUGCACGCCGCCAGCGUUUAUCCUGAGCCAGGAUCAAACUCU
This 480-nucleotide ribosomal RNA is filed under the name uncultured bacterium. RNAcentral describes it as "partial 16S ribosomal RNA". The record is from RNAcentral.